CAGCUGUAUAUCCCCUUACCAGCUUAGCAACAUGGACAGUAGCAAGAGUUUCAGAGUGGUUCUGUGACUGGCAUCUGCCCUUCUCCCUACUGCUUGUCUGAAAUGACGCCAGUCUCGGGAUUUAAGCUCAUUUAACCCUUGAACUCAAAGAGAUGAUCCAUUGUAUGCCUCAAGCAUGGCAGAUGGCCCCUGCACUCCCAUAUCCAGUGUGAACCCUGACCUCCUGCUGACCUCUGACCCCUGUGAUAGAACAUGACUCAAGAUUUUUCCCUCUCAUUUAAGGAUUUCUGCUUUCAAACAUUUCAGAGCCAAAUGUAGCAGUCCUAAUACUCCGUGCUAAAUGUGUUUGUAUGUAGAUGUGGGUCAAAAUGAGAUUGCAGUGUGAUAAAUGUAGGACACAUUAUUUCAUUUGAGCUG
Molecule: long non-coding RNA, 417 nt
Organism: Micropterus dolomieu (smallmouth bass)
Lineage: Eukaryota; Metazoa; Chordata; Actinopteri; Centrarchiformes; Centrarchidae
Exons: 3
Source: RefSeq, a predicted model, not a curated record